RNAcentral lists this long non-coding RNA (556 nucleotides) under Ananas comosus (pineapple). Its description in RNAcentral is "long non-coding RNA (ACOM_LNC020808)". Lineage: Eukaryota; Viridiplantae; Streptophyta; Magnoliopsida; Poales; Bromeliaceae. The record is from RNAcentral.
UUUAAAUUUUAUUAUUUUUAUUUCUUCUUAGAAUACAAAAAAUAUAAGGGCAAUUGCUUAUAUACCUCCAAAAAAUUUUUGAUUUUCUGAUUUACUCUGUUUAGAAGGCUAAUAUUAAAAAUACUCUUUUAACGUUCCAAAUUAUUUCAAAUAUACUUCUAGGGCUCCGUUUGGCUGGCGGUAUAAGCGGGGACCGCUAUUCCGCCAAACAAAAUAAUUUUUGGCCGGGAUAUUUUAUCCCGGUUAAAUUUUGCUAUUCCCGACUAUUCCGGAAUAGAUUGGGAUUUGCUAUUCCACCAUUUUGAUGGAAUAGUGCUAUUCCAAUAUUUAAUUUCAAACUUAAUUAAAAUUAUGAAUUGAAUUAAAACUAAAUUAUCUAAAUAUAAUAUGUUAUAUAUUAUAAUGCAUUUUUUUGUUAUAAAAUUAUUAAUUGUAUUAUAUUAAUAAUAUUAUUUAUAUUUAAAUAUUAUAAUAAAUUUUAUAAUAAAUUAUAUUUAAAUAUUAUAAUAAAUUAUUUUUAUUAAAUUUAAGUUUAAGUAGAAAUUUUAAAAAAAAU